This 523-nucleotide long non-coding RNA is filed under the name Cricetulus griseus (Chinese hamster). Its description in RNAcentral is "lncRNA (ENSCGRG00015034290.1)". Lineage: Eukaryota; Metazoa; Chordata; Mammalia; Rodentia; Cricetidae. The record is from RNAcentral.
CCCCACCCCCAGCCCAGGCUGCGGUCUCUGGUCCUUUGUAGUCUCCAGCUGAGGAAGGGGAAGAUGAGGAAGUGACUGGUCACCCCUGAAGCUCUCACACUGAGCACCGAGAGCUCCAGGAAAGCAGGGCCCUUACCCUCCUGUGAUCUGACCCCAAGCCGAUGUGGUUUGCAUCUGGGAAACUCAAUCCCCAGUCAGCCUCUUGGGAGUGGACAUGGGACCUGUUGUGUUGACGCUGCUAAUGUAUAUGGAUGUUUUGCCUAUAUGUAUGCCUAUGCACCAUGUAUAUGCAGUGCCUGCAGAGGCCAGAAGAGGGCACCAGAUCCCCUGGAACUGGAGUGACAGACUGUUGGCUGCCACGUGGGAGCUGGGAAUAGAACUCAGGUCCUUUGGCAGAGCAGCAGGUGCUCUUAAUAGCUGAAUCAUCUCUCCAGCCACCAAUUUCAUUUAAUAUUUGAGAGGGAUUUUUGUUGUAUUGCUGUGGCUAGCCUGGAACUCCUGGUCUCCACAGCUUAGAUUACAC